Molecule: unclassified non-coding RNA, 299 nt
Filed under: Ascomycota sp.
Lineage: Eukaryota; Fungi; Ascomycota
Description: partial contains small subunit ribosomal RNA, internal transcribed spacer 1, and 5.8S ribosomal RNA
Rfam family: Eukaryotic small subunit ribosomal RNA (bases 1-47)
Source: RNAcentral
AAAGUCGUAACAAGGUUUCCGUAGGUGAACCUGCGGAAGGAUCAUUAACAAUGUGAGAUGGGCCGUGGGGGGCAUUGCCCUCCGCUGCGCACUCCCGUUACACCCUGGCCACUCCCUUGCGGAGUCGGUUUCAUGUGUUCCACCCCCUGUGAAACUCUUCUAUAUGCUUCGGCAGCACCUUUCGGGGGUAAGGCUGCCAGAAGCCCAUAUCAAAAUCAGUUGAUGAAAUACAAUGUCUGACUACUAUUUUGAGAAAUCAAAUCAUAUUAAAACUUUCAGCAACGGAUCUCUUGGUUCUC